CUUCCGCCGGCGACCGGCGCACGGGUGAGUAACACGUAUGCAACCUGCCCCUGUCAGGGGGACAACCCGCCGAAAGGCGGGCUAAACCCGCGUACAUGCCACCGGGGCAUCCCGGAGGCAGGAAAGGCUUCGGCCGGACAGGGAUGGGCAUGCGGCGCAUUAGGCAGUAGGCGAGGUAACGGCCCACCUAACCGACGAUGCGUAGGGGUUCUGAGAGGAAGGUCCCCCACACUGGUACUGAGACACGGACCAGACUCCUACGGGAGGCAGCAG
This 273-nucleotide ribosomal RNA is filed under the name uncultured bacterium. Its description in RNAcentral is "partial 16S ribosomal RNA". It matches the Rfam family "Bacterial small subunit ribosomal RNA", at positions 82 to 354 of the family's 1533-position model. The record is from RNAcentral.